RNAcentral lists this ribosomal RNA (497 nucleotides) under uncultured bacterium. RNAcentral describes it as "partial 16S ribosomal RNA". It matches the Rfam family "Bacterial small subunit ribosomal RNA", at positions 28 to 507 of the family's 1533-position model. The record is from RNAcentral.
GAUGAACGCUGGCGGCGUGCCCAAUACAUGCAAGUCGAGCGAACGGACGAGAAGCUUGCUUCUCUGAUGUUAGCGGCGGACGGGUGAGUAACACGUGGAUAACCUACCUAUAAGACUGGGAUAACUUCGGGAAACCGUGGCUAAUACCGGAUAAUAUUUUGAACCGCAUGGUUCAAAAGUGAAAGACGGUCUUGCUGUCACUUAUAGAUGGAUCCGCGCUGCAUUAGCUAGUUGGUAAGGUAACGGCUUACCAAGGCAACGAUGCAUAGCCGACCUGAGAGGGUGAUCGGCCACACUGGAACUGAGACACGGUCCAGACUCCUACGGGAGGCAGCAGUAGGGAAUCUUCCGCAAUGGGCGAAAGCCUGACGGAGCAACGCCGCGUGAGUGAUGAAGGUCUUCGGAUCGUAAAACUCUGUUAUUAGGGAAGAACAUAUGUGUAAGUAACUGUGCACAUCUUGACGGUACCUAAUCAGAAAGCCACGGCUAACUACGUG